Glycine soja is the source of this 1735-nucleotide RNA transcript. RefSeq lists it as uncharacterized. NCBI's taxonomy places the organism in Eukaryota, Viridiplantae, Streptophyta, Magnoliopsida, Fabales, Fabaceae. The record is from RefSeq and is a predicted model, not a curated record. The transcript has 3 exons.
ACGACUCCUUGAAUGAUGUCGUUUAGCCGAAGGCACUAUGAUAUAUAAGAUCCCCUCCGAUCCAGAAACAAUCAUCACUCUUCACUCUCAUUUUCCCAAUUUCGCGAUACCAAAACCUCAGCAAUCAACAAUGUCGUUUUUCUCAAGGGGCCGUCGCGACGACGACACGGUGGACGACUACGACGAGUACGACCCCACCCCUUACGGCGGCGGCUACGACAUCGCCCUCACCUACGGCCGCCCCAUCCCACCCUCCGAUGAGACCUGCUACCCUCUAGGAGCCUCUUCUUCUGAUGACAACUUCGAUUAUGAUCGCCCUCAAUACACCUCUAACGCUGAACCCUCUGCUUAUGGUGAUGAAGCCCUAGCAUGACUGGUAUAGCAGCUGUACUCUUCGCCCUAAGCCCAGGCCUGGCUCUGCCAGGCUUCAACCCCGCCGCAGGGUCCGGGUACGGAGGCAGGAGUCGAAAUAUGGAUCCGGGUAUGGUGGAAGGAAGGAAGAAGGUGAAUACGGGUCAGGAUAUGGUGGAAGAAAGGAGGAGCCGGAAUAUGGAUCUGGGUAUGGUAGAAGGAAGGAAGAAGGUGAAUACGGGUCAGGAUAUGGUGGAAGAAAGGAGGAACCGGAAUAUGGAUCCGGGUAUGGUAGGAAAGAAGAGGGUGAAUACGGGUCAGGAUAUGGGUCCGGGUAUGGUGGGAGAAAGGAGGAGUCUGAAUAUGGAUCUGGGUAUGGUGGAAGAAAGGAAGAACCUGAAUAUGGAUCUGGGUAUGGUGGGAGAAAGGAGGAAUCUGAAUAUGGAUCCGGGUAUGGUGGGAGAAAGCAAGAAUCUGAAUAUGGAUCCGGGUAUGGUGGCAGGAAGGAGGAACCAGAAUAUGGAUCCGGAUAUGGUGGAAGGAAGGAGGAAUCUGAAUAUGGAUCAGGAUAUGGAGGAAGGAAGCAAGAAUCAGAAUAUGGAUCCGGGUAUGGUGGAAGAAAGGAGGAGAGUGAAUAUGGAUCCGGGUAUGGAGGGAGGAGUGAGUAUGAGGAGAAACCUAGCUAUGGGAGGAGCAACUAUGAGAGCCAAGGAGGAGGAGGAAGGGUUGAGUAUGGUUAUGAGGGGCGUCCACCCCGGCAGGAGGAGGAGGAGGGGUUCCGCAAGCCCUCCUAUGAGAGGAAGGCUGAUGAUGAUGAUGAUGAGGGCUAUGGUCGUAAGAAAUAUGGAGAUGACUCAGAUGAUGAUGAUGGGAGAAAGAAGCAUCACCACAAGCAUCACCAAUACAAGAGUUAUGAUGAUGAGUAAUCAAAAUGCCAGUGCGUGCUGUGUGAAUCAAAGUCAUCCCAUAAUUACCUACUAAAUAACGGGUUGACGUAUUAUACCUUCCUUCCAGUGUGUUUAGACUAUUACUGUGAUGUGAAGUCUUGAGCUUUAUGAACUGUUGGUCUAAGCUUAAUGUGAGGUCUUUGGCUUUGGAGUUCUAAUAAUAUCCGUUAUGUUUGAGUGUGUUAAAUUAUUUCCUUAGUUUGAAUGAGUUUAUGUGCCCUGCAUCAUGUAAUUUUACCUUCUAAUUAUUGCUGGCUAAGUUUUAAGGGAAGAUUCCAACCUUGAUAUAUGCAUGGUAAGUUCGAUAUGAUAAUCAUAUCCUACAAGAACACCCGUGUUCGUAUAAUUUACACACCGGAAGGUAUAAUACGUCAAAAUUGGUUGCACAAGUAUAAACUUUGUAUUUUGUGUUGAGUAGAAUUUGAGUGAGUUAUUUA